GACGAACGCUGGCGGCGUGCUUAACACAUGCAAGUCGAACGGAAAGGCCCUGCUUUUGUGGGGUGCUCGAGUGGCGAACGGGUGAGUAACACGUGAGUAACCUGCCCUUGACUUUGGGAUAACUUCAGGAAACUGGGGCUAAUACCGGAUAGGAGCUCCUGCUGCAUGGUGGGGGUUGGAAAGUUUCGGCGGUUGGGGAUGGACUCGCGGCUUAUCAGCUUGUUGGUGGGGUAGUGGCUUACCAAGGCUUUGGCGGGUAGCCGGCCUGAGAGGGUGACCGGCCACAUUGGUACUGAAAUACGGCCCAGACUCCUACGGAAGACAGAAGUGGGGAAUAUUGCACAAUGGGCCGAAGCCUGAUGCAGCAACGCCGCGUGCGGGAUGACGGCCUUCGGGUAGUAAACCGCUUUCGCCUGUGACGAAGCGUGAGUGACGGUAAUGAGUAAAUAAGCACCGGCUAACUACGUG
This 468-nucleotide ribosomal RNA is filed under the name uncultured bacterium. RNAcentral describes it as "partial 16S ribosomal RNA". It matches the Rfam family "Bacterial small subunit ribosomal RNA", at positions 28 to 507 of the family's 1533-position model. The record is from RNAcentral.